CGCACCCUUGCAAACGGAAAGGCUGGAGAGAUUGCUAACACAUUGAAAAGUUCAUGACAUAUUUGUUAUGAUCGAGGAUUGCUAAAGCAGAUUUUUUACAAAGAACCGUGAUAUUCAACCAAAGAACUUUAUGGAACGUGACUGCACCCUUAGUAUUUCCCCUGUGCUAAUUCUUUCACAGCCUCGGCCAGUUGCUUCUCUUUCUGAAUGCUCUGAACCCACUUUGCAUUAAUGUUGACACGCUCAAUGCUCUGCUUCAAGGUUCUAGCAAUUGAAGGCUUAAUGCGGCUUGCGAAGAACUCCUCUACUUCCUUAGCCUUCUCAAAUGAAGCAAACGGUGAGACAAACUGAUAAAGCGAGUUAAUAAAAAUCCAGAACCGUAGGUUUUUGAAAUGUGAUCCCACUUAUCCUU
Molecule: unclassified non-coding RNA, 412 nt
Filed under: Hevea brasiliensis (rubber tree)
Lineage: Eukaryota; Viridiplantae; Streptophyta; Magnoliopsida; Malpighiales; Euphorbiaceae
Source: RNAcentral